Molecule: unclassified non-coding RNA, 391 nt
Filed under: soil metagenome
Description: partial contains 5.8S ribosomal RNA, internal transcribed spacer 2, and large subunit ribosomal RNA
Rfam family: 5.8S ribosomal RNA (bases 1-122)
Source: RNAcentral
GAUGAAGAACGCAGCGAAAUGCGAUACUUGGUGUGAAUUGCAGAAUCCCGUGAACCAUCGAGUCUUUGAACGCAAGUUGCGCCCGAAGCCACUAGGCCGAGGGCACGCCUGCCUGGGCGUCACACGUCGUUGCCCCCCACCAUCUACUCCUUCGGGAUUGCGGGGGGCGGAUGAUGGCCUCCCGUGCGCCUAGCCGCGCGGUUGGCAUAAAUACCAAGUCCUCGGCGACGCACGCCACGACAAUCGGUGGUUGCGAAACCUCGGUUGCCCGUCGUGUGCGUUCGUCGCGCAUCGAGGGCUCGAAAAAAUGCUCGGCUCCGGCUCGGCUUUCAACGCGACCCCAGGUCAGGCGGGGUUACCCGCUGAAUUUAAGCAUAUCAAUAAGCGAGGA